This 77-nucleotide transfer RNA is filed under the name bacterium. RNAcentral's name for it is "tRNA-Arg". It matches the Rfam family "tRNA". Rfam says of the family: Transfer RNA (tRNA) molecules are approximately 80 nucleotides in length. Their secondary structure includes four short double-helical elements and three loops (D, anti-codon, and T loops). The record is from RNAcentral.
GCGCCCAUAGCUCAACUGGACAGAGUAGCGGACUACGAAUCCGAAGGUUGGAGGUUCGAAUCCUCCUGGGCGCACCA